RNAcentral lists this ribosomal RNA (484 nucleotides) under uncultured bacterium. Its description in RNAcentral is "partial 16S ribosomal RNA". It matches the Rfam family "Bacterial small subunit ribosomal RNA", at positions 29 to 507 of the family's 1533-position model. The record is from RNAcentral.
AUUGAACGCUGGCGGAAUGCUUUACACAUGCAAGUCGAACGGCAGCACGGGGGCAGCCCUGGUGGCGAGUGGCGAACGGGUGAGUAAUACAUCGGAACGUGCCCGGGCGUGGGGGAUAACGUAGCGAAAGUUACGCUAAUACCGCAUACGAUCUGAGGAGGAAAGCGGGGGACCUUCGGGCCUCGCGCGAUCGGAGCGGCCGAUGUCAGAUUAGGUAGUUGGUGGGGUAAAGGCCUACCAAGCCGACGAUCUGUAGCUGGUCUGAGAGGACGACCAGCCACACUGGGACUGAGACACGGCCCAGACUCCUACGGGAGGCAGCAGUGGGGAAUUUUGGACAAUGGGCGCAAGCCUGAUCCAGCCAUUCCGCGUGCAGGACGAAGGCCUUCGGGUUGUAAACUGCUUUUGUACGGAACGAAAAGGCUCUGGCUAAUACCUGGGGCUCAUGACGGUACCGUAAGAAUAAGCACCGGCUAACUACGUG